This 253-nucleotide ribosomal RNA is filed under the name uncultured bacterium. Its description in RNAcentral is "partial 16S ribosomal RNA". It matches the Rfam family "Bacterial small subunit ribosomal RNA", at positions 524 to 776 of the family's 1533-position model. The record is from RNAcentral.
GACGAACCGUGCGAACGUUGUUCGGAAUCACUGGGCUUAAAGGGCGCGUAGGCGGGCGAUCAAGUCAGCGGUGAAAUCCUCCAGCUCAACUGGAGAACUGCCCCUGAUACUGGUCGCCUCGAGGGAGGUAGGGGCAUGCGGAACUGAUGGUGGAGCGGUGAAAUGUGUUGAUAUCAUCAGGAACUCCGGUGGCGAAAGCGGCGUGCUGGACCUCUUCUGACGCUGAGGCGCGAAAGCUAGGGGAGCAAACGGG